RNAcentral lists this ribosomal RNA (274 nucleotides) under uncultured bacterium. RNAcentral's name for it is "partial 16S ribosomal RNA". It matches the Rfam family "Archaeal small subunit ribosomal RNA", at positions 473 to 747 of the family's 1478-position model. The record is from RNAcentral.
AAACCAGCACCUCAAGUGGUCAGGAUGAUUAUUGGGCCUAAAGCAUCCGUAGCCUGUUCUGUAAGUUUCCGGUUAAAUCCAUUAGCUCAACUAAUGGGCCGCCGAAAAUACUGCAAAACUAGGGAGUGGGAGAGGUAGACGGUACUCGGUAGGAAGGGGUAAAAUCCUUUGAUCUAUUGAUGACCACCUGUGGCGAAGGCGGUCUACCAGAACACGUUCGACGGUGAGGGAUGAAAGCUGGGGGAGCAAACCGGAUUAGAUACCCGGGUAGUCC